This 180-nucleotide ribosomal RNA is filed under the name uncultured Glomeromycotina. Its description in RNAcentral is "partial small subunit ribosomal RNA". The stretch from base 37 to 180 matches the Rfam family "Eukaryotic small subunit ribosomal RNA", at positions 684 to 830 of the family's 1831-position model. The record is from RNAcentral. Lineage: Eukaryota; Fungi; Glomeromycota.
GGAUCAAUUUACUGGUCGUGCUAUGGUACGUACUGGUUUUGUUGGUUCCUCCUUUCUGAGGAGCCGCGAUGUCAUUAAUUUGGUGUCGUGAGGAAUCAGGACUGUUACUUUGAAAAAAUUAGAGUGUUUAAAGCAGGCGUUUGCUUGAAUACAUUAGCAUGGAAUAAUGGAAUAGGGCUG